Molecule: ribosomal RNA, 562 nt
Filed under: Kluyveromyces lactis
Lineage: Eukaryota; Fungi; Ascomycota; Saccharomycetes; Saccharomycetales; Saccharomycetaceae
Description: partial large subunit ribosomal RNA
Rfam family: Eukaryotic large subunit ribosomal RNA
Source: RNAcentral
CGGAGGAAAAGAAACCAACCGGGAUUGCCUUAGUAACGGCGAGUGAAGCGGCAAAAGCUCAAAUUUGAAAUCUGGCGUCUUCGACGUCCGAGUUGUAAUUUGAAGAAGGCAACUUUGUAGCUGGUCCUUGUCUAUGUUCCUUGGAACAGGACGUCAUAGAGGGUGAGAAUCCCGUGUGGCGAGGAUCCCAGUUAUUUGUAAAGUGCUUUCGACGAGUCGAGUUGUUUGGGAAUGCAGCUCUAAGUGGGUGGUAAAUUCCAUCUAAAGCUAAAUAUUGGCGAGAGACCGAUAGCGAACAAGUACAGUGAUGGAAAGAUGAAAAGAACUUUGAAAAGAGAGUGAAAAAGUACGUGAAAUUGUUGAAAGGGAAGGGCAUUUGAUCAGACAUGGCGUUUGCUUCGGCUUUCGCUGGGCCAGCAUCAGUUUUAGCGGUUGGAUAAAUCCUCGGGAAUGUGGCUCUGCUUCGGUAGAGUGUUAUAGCCCGUGGGAAUACAGCCAGCUGGGACUGAGGAUUGCGACUUUUGUCAAGGAUGCUGGCGUAAUGGUUAAAUGCCGCCCGUCU